This is a non-coding RNA of Anas platyrhynchos (mallard), 754 nucleotides long. NCBI's taxonomy places the organism in Eukaryota, Metazoa, Chordata, Aves, Anseriformes, Anatidae. The record is from RefSeq and is a predicted model, not a curated record.
GAAUGGGUCAGAGGGCAAAAGUUUUAAGGCAUGGUGGAAGCCAAAGGCCUUGCAGGAGAUGAAAGAGGAGGUGUGUUCCUGGGCUAGCUAGCAUUCUUUGUGGACAGAAUAAGCUUUGGAUUUUCUGAACCUCACGCUCUGGAUCAAUGUGCUCUGUGUGUCUGGAGACCCUACUCUCUGCAUAGGCUCCUUGGCCACCAGGUCACCUUAUGGAAGUCUGCCAUCCCGCUGAAUAAUGUAUCCUCCCACCAUACACCCACUGUUUUUACUUGGCCUGUAAACCUGUGGGACCCAUUUUCCAAAAUCCUAACUUAAGGGGUUAUGUACAUCAUGACUGUGGAGCAUAGCCAAGGGUCUUAAAUACGGAGCAGCUAAAAUUAUGGUCUCUGAAAAUGACAACAGCAUCUAAUCCCAGUGCCUGGUUCUUGAUCGCCUGGUGACUCCAGUGCAUGUGGAAAUACCACAAAUGAAAGUUUCUAAAUGGACUAAGUGGAGUUUUCACAGUUAGAAAACCUUCAAACCAUGUCCUGUGCCAGGUGGUACGUCCAUGUUGGCAUCACCAAUGGUUGUGUCUGCCCCAAACCUGGCAGCAUUUUGAGCUCCAGGCUAAGCCCCGGUACUUGGUGCAGGCGGGAUUAAUGCAGCUAAAGCUCUGGAUGCCCAGUGCACUGCCAUUUCCUGAGGCAAAGAAUGUCAGAGCUUUUUAAGACAGGUCCCGCUGUUUUCUCUCCCCAUCUCAGGCCAUUGUUUCCCC